UCAUGCGAGGAGUAGUGCUAUCAAUAACGAGACAGAUCUCUUUGAGGCCUGUUAUCGGAAUGGGUACAAUUUAAACCCUUUAACGAGGAUCUAUGAGAGGGCAAGUCUGGUGCCAGCAGCCGCGUAAUUCCAGCUCUCAAGGUGUAUAUCGUCAUUGCUGCGGUUAAAAAAGCUCGUAGUUGGAUCUGAGAUCUUGAACACGGUACACCAUGUGUGUAACUGUGCUUCUGAUCUGUUUUGUCGGUUUUCUCUUGCGGCCUUCAUUGGUCGUCUUGAGUGGCUGGCGUGUUUACCUUGAAUAAAUUAGAGUGCUCAAGACAGGCGUUUCGUUGUAUAUUCGUGCAUGGAAUAAUAGAAUAGGACUUCGGUUCAUUCUGUUGGUCUUAGGACUGAAGUAAUGGUUAAGAGGGACUGACGGGGGCAUCCGUAUCGCUGCGUGAGAGGUGAAAUUCUUGGACCGCAGCGGGACGUCCAACUGCGAAAGCUUUGCCAAGAAUGUCUUCAUUAAUCAAGAAC
This 516-nucleotide ribosomal RNA is filed under the name Mononchoides striatulus. RNAcentral describes it as "bacterial SSU rRNA". It matches the Rfam family "Eukaryotic small subunit ribosomal RNA", at positions 453 to 984 of the family's 1831-position model. The record is from RNAcentral. Lineage: Eukaryota; Metazoa; Nematoda; Chromadorea; Rhabditida; Neodiplogasteridae.